Long non-coding RNA from Camelus dromedarius (Arabian camel), 2470 nucleotides. RefSeq lists it as uncharacterized. NCBI's taxonomy places the organism in Eukaryota, Metazoa, Chordata, Mammalia, Artiodactyla, Camelidae. The transcript is spliced from 4 exons. The record is from RefSeq and is a predicted model, not a curated record.
CCGCCGCUGCUUCCGCCGCCGCCGCCGCCACCGCCGCCGCCGCCGCCUCACAGGCCUUCUCCACCGAUCGGUCCCAAAUCGACUGACUGUCUCCUGGAAGCGGGGGCGGGGACGUCAGGAGGAUCCAUUCGGCAGGGCCUCGUUCAAUCGCUUCAUUCAAAUGCAGAAAGCUCUGUGCUCAGUCUAUAUCUCCCAUGGAUUCUGACGACCUUGCCUGAUGAUGGCGGGUGAUGGGGGCAGAGAUCGAUCCUUCUGAGAAGUAAGUUGGCAAGCGCUUUAGUGAAGCCUCGUAGGAUUUACCCAGCGAAGCGAGUGCCUUCGUCCCUGGAGGCUGCGGAAAGAAUCUUCCUGCCCCUGUCUAUUGAACAAUGGGAGUCAUCUUCCAAGUGCCCUGACACCAGACACCACGGCCAUUUGCCGAAUGGACAGAACAGACUGGGGCCACGUGUGCCACCCACCCUCUUUCCGGAGGCUGUGGUCCACUGUGUUUGCAUGAAAGUCAGUGAAGGAGGCAUCUCCUUGGGACUCGGUUCCGUCCCUUUCACGAGAGCCUCCACUUUGGAUGACAGCCAGCCAGCCAGCCAGCCCUCGAUGCCAGGGCAGUAGACGACUGCCAGGAAUAUCCCAUCCUUUCUGGAACCCUGAGUGUACCCACCUGUACAGACACAAGGCUGAAGAAUACAUGACGUUCCUUCCUAGUUGACAGCACUCCCCAUGUCACUGAAACAGUGUCCAGUACGCUGACGUCAUCUCCUCCCUCUCCCACACCCCCGCACGCGCACAAACACGCGCGCGCGCGCGCGCGCACACACACACACACACACACACACACACACACACACACACACACACUCUGUCUGUCUGUCUGUCUGUCUGUCUGUCUGUCUGUCUUCUAAGGAUGGAGAAGAGUUUGCUGAGCUAUUUCGGGUGCCCUCUCAUCCUAGUUCCUAUCUCCAAGUUGGUUCAAAGUCCAAAAGGCGGUCAAGCACUUAAUCAGAUAGGUCCCUCGUAAAGAAUGCCUCCCACAUCACGACGACAGGCUUCUUAGGCCAGCCGAGAAGCUCCUUCAGUUCUGCGCCCAUCUUGGCUCUAAGUUGAUAUCAGUCUGUUACGGAAAUGACAGGCCAGCCAAGAAACAAGCACCACUCGGAGGGUUGGAGUACUCAGAUUUAUUACGCCGGCGGGCUCAGAGGGGCUUCUGCUCCGAAGCUCUGAGCACCUCCAAGACGUGCACAUGAGGUUUCAUAGGGUUAAUUACAAAUAUGGGUCUAUUCGCCAAUAAGGCUCAAACAACAAAAAGCAAAGGAUCAGUACACUGGAGCUUAUCAAUUUGGAACAGAUCACGUUACUGACACUUGUUGAGCUUGGAUUUACGAGUUAGCUUGUUAGCCCAGUAAACUGACACUAAACUUCAGAUUUACGAGUUAGCCCAGCAGAACUUAGAUCAGUAAACGGACACUUAUCACACUUAGAUUUGUGACUUUAGCUUGUUAGCCCAGCUGGGCUUUUCCUUUACAAGUCCUCCAGGAUCCAAGAAAGCCACGUUGGAAAACAAGUGGUGAUUCUGAUGGGACAGGAGAUCAGUCAUUUGGGGGCGAAGGGUGGGGUAGGGAGACAUACCAGCCAGUCUGUCUGUUUUCACCCAGUGUGGGAGCCGUCCCAAAGAGAUAACUCGAGAAGAGAGAAACAGGGAGUUGACAAAGAACACGUGCAGUGGCGUGCCCUCCCCCCCACCCCAGGAGAAGGCCAAGCCAGAAGUCCCUCCGGAUGGCGGGCUCCGGACUCCGGCUUCCAGGGGAAGCGAUUUUUUUUUCCUCCCCAUUUCAGGCCCGGAAGAAGAGGGAGAGGCAGAGUGUCCUUCUCGGGCAUCCGCUGUUUCUGAAGCACGCUUGUUGCCAAAAGUUCGGCCCCCGUCCCCGACGAGCCCAAGAAUCCAGAGACAAGGUCUUGGAGCUUAGAAGCAAAGAGGCCAUUUUAUCGCUCUGCCGGGCAAAGGGGAUUCACAGCAGGCUAGCGUCUUCAAAACUGUGUACCCACCUUGGGGAUGGAGUGGGUGGGGUGGUUCUAGAGCCAUAGCUCAAACAAUCGGGCAUCGAUCACCAUCCACAGAAUCGUUUUCUCAUCAGAAGACUCAGAAUGGUGUCACGAUGCCUCCAGGUGACCCAUUCUAUAGAGGCUGGUGGUUAGAUCUCGUUAUCUCAUAAGCACUCAAGGUGUGGCCUUCUUGGUCACUCAGGCUAUUUUGUCAGGUCACUAGUCCCGUGACCGACCUUCUCCUCGGAGAAAGACUCAGAGACCCAGCAUGAUGAUGACUUUCAAUGAGUGAAAUACAGUAGAAACAGUAAGAUCGAUAGCUUCCAGUUUCAACAACAGGCCUGGAACCGUGAGCAGCAACCAGUCAGUCAGGACAGUUGACCGUUUUCAGGGCGAGCAUAAGAAACCGAAUGACACCCCCCCCCCAGCAAAUGAA